ACUCAAAUGAAUUGACGGGGGCCCGCACAAGCGGUGGAGCAUGUGGUUCAAUUCGACGCAACGCGAAGAACCUUACCGGGGUUUGAACUGUACGGGACAGCUCUAGAGAUAGAGUCUUCCUUCGGGACCCGUAUAGAGGUGCUGCAUGGCUGUCGUCAGCUCGUGUCGUGAGAUGUUGGGUUAAGUCCCGCAACGAGCGCAACCCUUGCCUCCUGUUGCUAACGAGUAAAGUCGAGCACUCUGGAGAGACUGCCGGUGAUAAACCGGAGGAAGGUGGGGAUGACGUCAAGUCCUCAUGGCCUUUAUGCCCCGGGCUACACACGUGCUACAAUGGCUGGUACAAAGGGUUGCAAAACCGCGAGGUGGAGCUAAUCCCAAAAAGCCAGUCCCAGUUCGGAUUGCAGUCUGCAACUCGACUGCAUGAAGUUGGAAUCGCUAGUAAUCGCGGAUCAGCACGCCGCGGUGAAUACGUUCCCGGGCCUUGUACACACCGCCCGU
Molecule: ribosomal RNA, 498 nt
Filed under: uncultured bacterium
Lineage: Bacteria
Description: partial 16S ribosomal RNA
Rfam family: Bacterial small subunit ribosomal RNA
Source: RNAcentral